Cinara cedri is the source of this 386-nucleotide non-coding RNA. Lineage: Eukaryota; Metazoa; Arthropoda; Insecta; Hemiptera; Aphididae. The record is from the annotation of a GenBank genome assembly.
GUGACUGUUUUUGAAGGAUUUUUGUUAAUCGAAAAAAUGGACAAUAUACAUUCCACACUCCGUUCAGAAUCUACAAAUAUGAUCAUCCUUAGGGUAUUAAGGUCAACAAAACAAAAAUACGAAAUAUGUUCGAACUUUGUUUUCAGUUGUGAUAUAAAGAAGCUCGGCGUAACACAUUGACAUGGAACUAUCGAGACGACAGUGAUUACUAAAAUUCCCGACCGUGUCAGGGAUAGAGGCCAAAAUAAAAUCAGCUGACACCACCUGCACUACACCGACGGUAAUCGUGGGCAACAGGUGUGCGCUUCCCCUCUCUGCAGAAGGAUUACCUGUAGCCGGUUCCUCGGAUUUACCUAACGUCAACGGCAUUAAUUAAUCGUGGGAUA